This 402-nucleotide ribosomal RNA is filed under the name uncultured Rhodoplanes sp. RNAcentral's name for it is "bacterial SSU rRNA". It matches the Rfam family "Bacterial small subunit ribosomal RNA", at positions 355 to 774 of the family's 1533-position model. The record is from RNAcentral. Lineage: Bacteria; Pseudomonadati; Pseudomonadota; Alphaproteobacteria; Hyphomicrobiales; Nitrobacteraceae.
UGGGGAAUAUUGGACAAUGGGCGCAAGCCUGAUCCAGCCAUGCCGCGUGGAUGAUGAAGGCCCUAGGGUUGUAAAGUCCUUUCAGCGGGGAAGAUAAUGACGGUACCCGCAGAAGAAGCCCCGGCUAACUUCGUGCCAGCAGCCGCGGUAAUACGAAGGGGGCUAGCGUUGCUCGGAAUUACUGGGCGUAAAGCGUACGUAGGCGGAUCCUUAAGUCGGUGGUGAAAUCCUGAAGCUCAACUUCAGAACUGCCUUCGAUACUGGGGACCUUGAGUUCGGGAGAGGUGAGUGGAACUGCGAGUGUAGAGGUGAAAUUCGUAGAUAUUCGCAAGAACACCAGUGGCGAAGGCGGCUCACUGGCCCGAUACUGACGCUGAGGUACGAAAGCGUGGGGAGCAAACA